GCUGGUCCGGCGUGCUUAACACAUGCAAGUCGAACGGGAUUUAGUAAACAGAAGCCUCGGCGGAAGAUUACUAAUGAGAGUGGCGAACGGGUGAGUAACGCGUGAGCAACCUGCCUAUGACAGUGGGAUAGCCUCGGGAAACCGGGAUUAAUACCGCAUAAAAUCGUAGAAACACAUGUUUUAACGGUCAAAGAUUUAUCGGUCAUAGAUGGGCUCGCGUCUGAUUAGCUAGUUGGUGAGAUAACAGCCCACCAAGGCGACGAUCAGUAGCCGGUCUGAGAGGAUGAACGGCCACAUUGGAACUGAGACACGGUCCAAACUCCUACGGGAGGCAGCAGUGGGGAAUAUUGCACAAUGGGGGAAACCCUGAUGCAGCGACGCCGCGUGAACGAAGAAGGUAUNCGUAUCGUAAAGUUCUGUCCUAUGGGAAGAUAAUGACAGUACCAUAGAAGAAAGCUCCGGCUAAAUACGUGCCAGCAGACCGGGUAAUACGUAUGGAGCGAGCGUNGUCCGGAAUUAUCGGGCGUAACGGGUACGCAGGCGGUUUAAUAAGUCGAAUGUUAAAGAUCGGGGCUCAANCCCGUAAAGCAUUGGAAACUGAUAAACUUGAGUAGUGGAGAGGAAAGUGGAAUUCCUAGUGUAAUGGUGAAAUACGUAAUAUUAGAGGAAUAACAGUAGCGAAAGGCGACUUCCUGGACACCAAAUUGACGCUGAGGUACGAAAGCGUGGGACGUAAACCAGGAUAGAUACCCUUGGAAGGUCCAGGCGAAA
Molecule: ribosomal RNA, 771 nt
Filed under: uncultured Clostridia bacterium
Lineage: Bacteria; Bacillati; Bacillota; Clostridia
Description: bacterial SSU rRNA
Rfam family: Bacterial small subunit ribosomal RNA
Source: RNAcentral